RNAcentral lists this ribosomal RNA (235 nucleotides) under uncultured Candidatus Saccharibacteria bacterium. RNAcentral's name for it is "partial 16S ribosomal RNA". It matches the Rfam family "Bacterial small subunit ribosomal RNA", at positions 585 to 818 of the family's 1533-position model. The record is from RNAcentral. Lineage: Bacteria; Candidatus Saccharimonadota.
AAGUGGAUAGUGAAACCUGGUGGCUCAACCAUACAGACUAUUAUUCAAACUGACAAACUCGAGAACAGCAGAGGUAACUGGAAUUUCUGAAGUAGGGGUAAUAUCCGUAGAUAUCAGAAGGAACACCAAUGGCGUAGGCAGGUUACUGGGCUGUUUCUGACACUGAGGCACGAAAGCGUGGGGAGCGAACCGGAUUGGAUACCCGGGUAGUCCACGCCGUAAACGAUGGAUACUA